AGGGUGUCCGGCCACACUGGGACUGAGAUACGGCCCAGACUCCUACGGGAGGCAGCAGUGGGGAAUAUUGCACAAUGGGCGCAAGCCUGAUGCAGCGACGCCGCGUGGGGGAUGACGGCCUUCGGGUUGUAAACCUCUUUCACCAUCGACGAA
This 153-nucleotide ribosomal RNA is filed under the name uncultured bacterium. RNAcentral describes it as "partial 16S ribosomal RNA". It matches the Rfam family "Bacterial small subunit ribosomal RNA", at positions 297 to 449 of the family's 1533-position model. The record is from RNAcentral.